This 119-nucleotide ribosomal RNA is filed under the name Callithrix jacchus (white-tufted-ear marmoset). Lineage: Eukaryota; Metazoa; Chordata; Mammalia; Primates; Cebidae. The record is from RNAcentral.
GUCUAUGGCCAUACUACCCUGAAUGUGCCCAAUCUUGUCUGAUAUCAAAAACCAAGCAGAGUCAGGUCUGUUUAGUACUUGAAUGGAAGACCUUCUGGGAAUACUGGGUGCUGUAGGCU